This 2994-nucleotide long non-coding RNA is filed under the name Lathyrus oleraceus (garden pea). RNAcentral's name for it is "Pisum sativum (pea) long non-coding RNA (PSAT_LNC033068)". Lineage: Eukaryota; Viridiplantae; Streptophyta; Magnoliopsida; Fabales; Fabaceae. The record is from RNAcentral.
ACUAACACACUUUAUUACAUUUCUCCAUUUUAUUUUAUUUUAAAGAUUUAUUUUGUGCUUGUUAAAUCACUUCUGAGUUUGUCAUUAUUCACUCAAACAUCAAACUUUAAGAUAUACUAAAAAAAAUGUAAGUCCGAGACCCAAAAUAUAAAACCUCAUACAAUAAGAUGUGAGGUUAUUAUUUAUCAAUUUUUCUUAAUUAUAAGCAAUCAUCUUGACUUACAAAAGAGUCAUUAUUCUGAUGCCCAUUUAAUCCACAAACUAUACAACAUGAGCAUGUGUGUGUAUUAACAGUAGUGUCACAUCUACAACGACGAGCCUGAGCACCUUUAAACCUUGCAUUAAAUUCAGCAUGAAUAACAUUAUAGAAAAAAAUAUCAACAAAAAAAAAAUAUAUAUAAAAAUAAAAAUAAUAAUAAUAAUAAUAAUAAUAAUAAUAAUAUACCACAUCCAUAGCUAAGGUUUAAGAGAGCAAUCAAAGCAGCAACAAAUAGGAGAAUGCUUCCUAGCUUCAUGAUGUUAUUAACACACUCAAUAAUAUCAAAUAGAGCUUUGAAAAUGUAGGGACAAUGUAAGAGAAAUGGAAUAUAUAUAUAUAUAUCUAGAUAUAUAUAUAUAGAUAUAUAUAUAUAGAUUAAAUAUAUUAUAUAUAUAUAUAUAUAUAUAUAUAUAUUAUAUUAUAUAUAUUACUAGGAUUUCACUUUAUAUUAAUAAUCAAUACCUUUGACUUUAAUUAUAAAGUUAUAUCUAUGAAUUUAAAAGUACUAUAAGAAUUGUUAAUUUCUGUGGUUUUAUAAAGAGACACCUGUAUUUAGAUACUGAUAGCAACAAAAAGAAAUCCGUUUUAAAUUAUGAAAAAAAUGUUUAAAAAAAAACUAGUUUUAAAAUAUUUUUAUUUAACUUAUUCAUUAAAUAUGCCAAAUUACCAAAGUUUAGAAAUUAUUAUAUAGGACAAAUUAUAUUAUUAUUUAUGUGAAAGCUUAAAUGUAUUAAUAAAAUAUUGAUUGUACAGUUUGUUGCGUAUUUAAAUAAUAUAUUAAAAAUAUUGAGUUUUUAUGUUAACACGAAUACAAAAUAUUUACCACACUUUAUAUUUUUAAAUGUCAACUAUCAUAUAAUAUAAAAUAGCAUUAAAUAUAUAUUUGUGGCUCUCCUAAAUAUUCUAAAUUUUUAUUUUUAAUUUUUUAAAAUAUUUUUUUAAAGAAUAGGCCUUUUAAAAUUUUCAUCCACACUUUUGAUCUCUUUAUAAAACAGGCCUUCUAAAAUUUUUAUAUUUAAUUUUUAAAUUCAUUUUUAAUAAAUCGAAAGACUAAUUCACAUCAUAUAACAUAAAUACACAUUAUUGAAGAUUAAAACAUAGUUAAAAUUGCAAUCUAUCUAUAUAAAGAUAAUGUAUUGUGAUAAAUAUCUUCUUAUCUUAUAUUCUAAUUCUGCCGCAUCACCAAUUUGAGGGUAUUUUUUUUCCAAUACUUGCUUUUCGCAAAUAAACCAUGCUACAUGUUACUUUGCAAUUACAAAUUACACAACCAAACCAUACUAUUUGUUACUUUGCAAUUACAAAUUACACAACCAAACCAUACUAUUUGUUACUUUGCAAUUACAAAUUACAUGUUUUUGUUGAGAAUGUAUUAAGUGUGAGUAGUGGGGAUAAUAGUCCCACAUUGAUUGGAAAUAUGGAGACUUGAGCAUUUAUAAGUGAGAAAAUUUACCCACCUAUCACUUUAAGGUUUUGGGUGAAUAUGUGGUGUGUCUCUCACCAAUCAAAUGUGAGUAGUGUCGGUAAUAGUCUCACAUUGGUUGGAAAUAUGGAGAUUUGAGCAUUUAUAAGUGAGAGAAUCCAUCCACCUAUCAAUAUGGAGAUUUGAGCAUUUAUAAGUGAAGGAAUGCACCCACCUAUCAUCUUAAGGUUCUGGGUGAAUAUCCUCACCUUUUCUUUAUAUAUGAACCAAUUAAACUCUAAUUCUAACCAAAAUGAUUGUCAAAUCAAUCAAAUUUGUUGUCAUUAUUUCACACCACCUUUCAACUUUCUCAUCCUUCUCUCUUUGACACAUCUUCCAUUAAGAGAAAUUUGACUUUUAUUAUAAUCACAUAUAAAGUAACACAAACGGAUGAUUGUGAUGUAUUGACAGUGUAAAUUUUUUUACACUAACAGUGUAUAACAAUUAAUCUCCUUAUUAAUAAUAUUUUGUCACUAAAAAAACAAAUUGAAAUUUAGUAUUAAUUAUAAAUUUUAAUAAUGCUUAUAAAUAUUGUAUAGAUAAAUUAAUAAAAUACAUUAAUAAGUGUUAAGGAUAUAAUAAGAAAAAUAAACGAUGAUAUUAAAACUAACACACUUUAUUACAUUUCUCCAUUUUAAAUUUUUUUUAAAGAUUUAUUUUGUGCUUGUUAAAUCACUUGUGAGUUUGUCAUUAUUCAAUCAAACAUCAAACUUUAAGAUAUACUAAAAAAAAUGUAAGUCCGACACCCAAAAUAUAAAACCUCAUACAAUACGAUGUGAGGUUAUUAUUUAUCAAAUUUCCUUAAUUAUAAGCAAUCAUCUUGACUUAUAAAAAAGUCAUUAUUUUGAUGCCCAUUUAAUCCACAAACUAUACAACAUGAGCAUGUGUGUGUAUUAACAGUAGUGUCACAUCUACAACGACGAGCUUGAGCACCUUUAAACCUUGCAUUAAAUUCAGCAUUGCAGUCACGCUAAGCAUGCAGACAGUCACCACUCAGUCCUGUAAUAACCUUAGGACAGAAUUUGAUAUUGGGUUCUAUACCUACAUGAAUAACAUUAUAGAAAAAAGUAUCAACAAAAAAAAAUAUAAAGAAAAAAUUAAAAUAAUAAUAAUAAUAAUAAUAAUAAUAAUAAUAUACCAGAUCCAUAUCUAAGGUUUAAGAGAGCAAUCAAAGCAGCAACAAAUAGGAGAAUGCUUCCUAGCUUCAUGAUGUUACUAACACACUCAAUCAUAUCAAAUAGAACUUUGAAAAUGCAGGGACAAUGUAAGAGAAAUG